RNAcentral lists this ribosomal RNA (253 nucleotides) under uncultured bacterium. Its description in RNAcentral is "partial 16S ribosomal RNA". It matches the Rfam family "Bacterial small subunit ribosomal RNA", at positions 524 to 776 of the family's 1533-position model. The record is from RNAcentral.
UACGUAUGGUGCAAGCGUUAUCCGGAUUUACUGGGUGUAAAGGGAGCGCAGGCGGCACGGCAAGCCUGAUGUGAAAGCCCGCGGCCCAACCGCGGGACUGCAUUGGGAACUACCGGGCUGGAGUGCCGGAGAGGUAGGCGGAAUUCCUAGUGUAGCGGUGAAAUGCGUAGAUAUUAGGAAGAACACCAGUGGCGAAGGCGGCUUUCUGGACUGAAACUGACGCUGAGGCACGAAAGCGUGGGGAGCGAACAGG